CCAGCACCUGCGGUAAUUCCAGCUCCAAUAGCGUAUAUUUAAGUUGUUGCAGUUAAAAAGCUCGUAGUUGGAUUUCGGGCGGGUGACGGCGGUCCGCCUCUGGUGUGCACUGCUGCUCAUCCGCCUUACUGUCGGGGACGGGCUCCUGGGCUUCACUGUCCGGGACCCGGGUUCGACAUGGUUACUUUGAGUAAAUUAGAGUGCUCAAAGCAGGCUAUUCCGCCUGAAUAUUCGUGCAUGGAAUAAUAGAAUAGGAUGUCGAUCCUAUUUUGUUGGUUUUCGGGACUCGACAUAAUGAUUAAUAGGGGCAAUUGGGGGCAUUUGUAUUCAAACGACAGAGGUGAAAUUCUUGGACCGUUUGAAGACAAACUACUGCGAAAGCAUUUGCCAAGAAUGUUUUCAUUAAUCAAGAACGAAAGU
This 420-nucleotide ribosomal RNA is filed under the name uncultured eukaryote. RNAcentral's name for it is "SSU rRNA". It matches the Rfam family "Eukaryotic small subunit ribosomal RNA", at positions 567 to 990 of the family's 1831-position model. The record is from RNAcentral.